AUGGCGGCGCUUUGCACCGCUACCUUGAUGAAGGCAUCGUUGUGUAACUGUUGUCGACCCACUCGUGCUGCUUCGGGGGAAAUCCUAGGAUCUGGUCUUCCAGAUCAGACGGUAGCGGUACUACGGUGCCGUUUCUCUCUUGGGAGCAUCGUUUGUGGAGCAGCGCUAGAAGACAGAGGCAUGAGGUGGAGUGGCUUCGUCUUGCGUGGAGCUUCGGUGGAGCUGUCAAGUCAUACCGGACCGACAGGUGCUAUGCUGAGUCAUGCCCGAUUGGCAGGUGCUACGCACGACCGUUCUUCUAGAGUCUUCGCGUUUGGACAGAUGAGCGCAGGGCGGUGGCGCCGUUAG
This 348-nucleotide ribosomal RNA is filed under the name Triticum aestivum (bread wheat). RNAcentral describes it as "partial small subunit ribosomal RNA". The record is from RNAcentral. Lineage: Eukaryota; Viridiplantae; Streptophyta; Magnoliopsida; Poales; Poaceae.